This 787-nucleotide long non-coding RNA is filed under the name Panax ginseng (ginseng). Its description in RNAcentral is "long non-coding RNA (PGIN_LNC005217)". Lineage: Eukaryota; Viridiplantae; Streptophyta; Magnoliopsida; Apiales; Araliaceae. The record is from RNAcentral.
UCCAUCUAUAUCCACAUAAAAUAAAUAUUUUCUUUAUCAUAAUAAUCAAUAAUUAAUUAUUUAAAAAUAAUAUUACAGAAUCACAGUACUGACAACCAGGCCGUUCCCAGGAAAGAGGGGGCUUUCCAAUAAGGAUUUCUCCUUACUGGCGCGCAAUUAGGUGACCAAACCUCUCCUUAGACAGAACUUUCUAGACAUUGCCAAUAAUGUUAUCUGAUAAUAUUAUUCAAAUAAUAUGAAUUAUUGAUUUGAUAAUGGAAAAUACUGUGUAAUGACAAUUAUUGAAACAACAGCAAUACAAAAUAUCAACGCAGCAAUUAUUGAAUCAAUAAAAUAUAAUAUUGAACAGUAACUACUGUAACAAUUAUUGAGUAGUGCCUUCUUACGUAAGGAUCAAUAAUUCAAUAAUACUGUGCAAUACCGUGUGCUACUGUGCAACCACGCGUAACUGUAUUUUAACCACCAGGUAACCCAACAGUGUUAACGGUUACAAUUUACGUCGUUAUUUAUAAAACUCAAUCUUUGUCGUUUUCCUUCAUCCAACCGUUUUUCGUUAUGGGGCCCACCAAUGACUGCGCCGUCGUACGGAGAUUCCCGACAAAAAGAAUAUUCCACGACCAAACGAAUAUUCCCCGACAAUAAUGAAUAUUUUAUAACCACUUGCUUAUUUUGUAAACUUUGCACAUUUCACCCAUAACAAAAGAAUUAUAUCAAAUUAACCCUUAUUAAUUUAGAAUAAUGAAUAAAGGAAAAUUCAAUUUUAUUUAUAAUAAGUUGGGGUCUUACA